UCAAGAUGUGGCCUGCACCAGUGCUUCUGCUCGUCCAGUCGGCUCUGCUGAUUCAAGGAUCUUCCGCCCAGGAUUUGUUGACCCAGACGGACAAAAUCAAGUAUGUCAGUCUUGGUUGGACCGUGACCAUCAGCGCCAAAGGGAGUUCAAAUAUUGGUGAAGAUCUCAGUUGGUACCAAGUGAAACCUGGACAGGUUCCUAAACUUCUGAUCUAUGAUGCAACAAGUCGCUUUACUGGAACACCACCUCGAUUCAGUGGCACACAAUCUGGCUCUGACUACACUCUGACUAUCACUGGUGUUCAGGCAGAAGAUGUCGCUGAUUACUACUGUUUUGCCUUUUUUGACGUUGGAAGGUAUACACGGUGAUUGAGAGCUGUACAAAACCUCCUCUGGUUUGAGGGAAGUGAAAGUGGAAGAUGAUGAUGACUGGUCCACUGAACAAAGAUCACCAAGCAGAACCAGCGUCAAUCUGAACAAGUUGAUUGACUUGUAAGAAAAAGUUCAAAUGAGGAAAGAAGAAGUCACACUAACACUCAGGGCCGGCCCGUCCCGUAAACAUUCUAUACCAGGGGUCUUUAAACUUUUCCAGGCCAAAGACAAUAAAGAUGGCGUGAGGACGGCCUAGCUUGUAUAAAAUUCUAUAAUUAUUCAAAUGAAAUUGUAUUAAAUGAUAUUAUUAUUAUAAAUUAAAAUUAUACUGCCCCUAAAGGUACUUUUAAGUCUUAUACCUAAAAUAUACAUUAACUAACUCCUAAAUCACUCACAUUAAACUGAAUAUUGCGUAAAUACUUGCUGAAGGCCACUAAGGGCCACACAAAGACUAGACCAGACCUGGGCAAAUUAAGGCCGGGGGCCACAUGCGGCCCGUUGAGCUUUUCAAUCUGGCCCGCCGGACAUUCCCAAAUAAUUUUUUUAGAUAUUUAAGAUGGAAAGUGUAGCUGCCAUUAUGAUGUGCAGUCAUGUUUUCUAAUGACCGUAAGUCUUCAACUAUACAAAGUAUUUCAAUGGUUGGAAUCUGCGCUUUGGGAUGAUAUACCAGUUACUAUGGUAAUCUAAUUAGUUACAAUGGUAAUCUAAUUAGUUACUAUGGUUAUCUAAUUUGUUUCUAUGGUAAUCUACGUCACAGCAGCUCAGACGAGGCACCAAGCAGUGUGGGCGGGAAGCGUUUCCACAGACAAAGUUCUAAAGCUUAGUGAUGUAUCAGAUAUAUCAGAUUGUCGGUGGGUUUAUUUUGUACCCUUCGCGUUUAUAUUUCACUGUUGGUUGCAUUUUUGUUGCGUUUCACUUGAUUGUAAAAUAUGUCGAUCGAAAGGGGGUGUGACGUUCAUAUUUUGUCAAUAUUCAGUGUUUUAUCGUUCAUAGACAUUUUUAAAAUUCCAUUACAUUUUUUUAAGGCGGUCUGUCAUAACGUUUUUAGCAUUCAAUCAGACAUUAUUGUGAGGUUUUGUGUUAGUGUUCCUAAAAAUAGAUAUACCGGCCCCCAGACACAUUUUGUCUCUCUAAAUGUGGCCCCCGAGUCAAAAUAAUUGCCCAGGCCUGGACUUGACCAUGCUAAUGCUAAUAAGUGUCCUAUUAUAUGAGUAGGGACUCUUAUUUAUUCGUUCACUUAGCAGGCUGAAAGGUGCCAAGUUUGCUUUACA
This is a non-coding RNA of Nerophis lumbriciformis (worm pipefish), 1642 nucleotides long. The record is from the annotation of a RefSeq genome assembly. NCBI's taxonomy places the organism in Eukaryota, Metazoa, Chordata, Actinopteri, Syngnathiformes, Syngnathidae.